GACGAACGCUGGCGGCGUGCUUAACACAUGCAAGUCGAACGGAAAGGCCCUGCUUUUGUGGGGUGCUCGAGUGGCGAACGGGUGAGUGACACGUGAGUAACCUGCCCUUGACUUUGGGAUAACUUCAGGAAACUGGGGCUAAUACCGGAUAGGAGCUCCUGCUGCAUGGUGGGGGUUGGAAAGUUUCGGCGGUUGGGGAUGGACUCGCGGCUUAUCAGCUUGUUGGUGGGGUAGUGGCUUACCAAGGCUUUGACGGGUAGCCGGCCUGAGAGGGUGACCGGCCACAUUGGGACUUGGAUACGGCCCAGACUCCUACGGGAGGCAGCAGUGGGGAAUAUUGCACAAUGGGCGGAAGCCUGAUGCAGCAACGCCGCGUGCGGGAUGACGGCCUUCGGGUUGUAAACCGCUUUCGCCUGUGACGAAGCGUGAGUGACGGUAAUGGGUAAAGAAGCACCGGCUAACUACGUG
Molecule: ribosomal RNA, 468 nt
Filed under: uncultured bacterium
Lineage: Bacteria
Description: partial 16S ribosomal RNA
Rfam family: Bacterial small subunit ribosomal RNA
Source: RNAcentral